This 375-nucleotide ribosomal RNA is filed under the name uncultured bacterium. Its description in RNAcentral is "bacterial SSU rRNA". It matches the Rfam family "Bacterial small subunit ribosomal RNA", at positions 524 to 898 of the family's 1533-position model. The record is from RNAcentral.
UACGGAGGGUGCAAGCGUUGUUCGGAAUUAUUGGGCGUAAAGGGCGCGUAGGCGGUGGCGCAAGUCAGAUGUGAAAUCCUUCGGCUUAACUGAAGAACUGCAUUUGAUACUGCGCUACUCGAGUACAGGAGAGGGAAAUGGAAUUCCCGGUGUAGAGGUGAAAUUCGUAGAUAUCGGGAGGAACACCAGUGGCGAAGGCGAUUUCCUGGCCUGAUACUGACGCUGAGGCGCGAAAGCGUGGGGAGCAAACAGGAUUAGAUACCCUGGUAGUCCACGCAGUAAACGGUGAACACUAGGUGUGGGAGGUGUAAUACCUUCUGUGCCGAAGCUAACGCGUUAAGUGUUCCGCCUGGGAAGUACGGCCGCAAGGUUGAA